GACGGACGCUGGCGGCGUGCCUAAUACAUGCAAGUCGAGCGAUGAUUAAAGAUAGCUUGCUAUUUUUAUGAAGAGCGGCGAACGGGCGAGUAACGCGUGGGAAAUCUGCCGAGUAGCGGGGGACAACGUUUGGAAACGAACGCUAAUACCGCAUAACAAUGAGAAUCGCAUGAUUCUUAUUUGAAAGAAGCAAUUGCUUCACUACUUGAUGAUCCCGCGUUGUAUUAGCUAGUUGGUAGUGUAAAGGACUACCAAGGCGAUGAUACAUAGCCGACCGGAGAGGGUGAUCGGCCACACUGGGACUGAGACACGGCCCAGACUCCUACGGGAGGCAGCAGUAGGGAAUCUUCGGCAAUGGGGGCAACCCUGAUCGAGCAACGCCGCGUGAGUGAAGAAGGUUUUCGGAUCGUAAAACUCUGUUGUUAGAGAAGAACGUUAAGUAGAGUGGAAAAUUACUUAAGUGACGGUAUCUAACCAGAAAGGGACGGCUAACUACGUGCCAGCCGCCGCUGUAA
This 515-nucleotide ribosomal RNA is filed under the name uncultured bacterium. RNAcentral describes it as "partial 16S ribosomal RNA". It matches the Rfam family "Bacterial small subunit ribosomal RNA", at positions 28 to 523 of the family's 1533-position model. The record is from RNAcentral.